CCUACGGGAGGCAGCAGUGGGGAAUAUUGCGCAAUGGGCGAAAGCCUGACGCAGCAACGCCGCGUGCGGGACGACGGCCUUCGGGUUGUAAACCGCUUUCAGCAGGGACGAAGUGAAAAUGACGGUACCUGCAGAAGAAGCACCGGCCAACUACGUGCCAGCAGCCGCGGUGAUACGUAGGGUGCGAGCGUUGUCCGGAAUUAUUGGGCGUAAAGAGCUUGUAGGCGGUCUGUCACGUCGUAAGUGAAAACUCAGGGCUCAACCCUGAGCCUGCUUGCGAUACGGGCAGACUAGAGGAAGGUAGGGGAGAACGGAAUUCUUGGUGGAGCGGUGGAAUGCGCAGAUAUCAGGAAGAACACCGGUGGCGAAGGCGGUUCUCUGGACCUUUCCUGACGCUGAGAAGCGAAAGCGUGGGGAGCAAACAGGCUUAGAUACCCUGGUAGUCCACGCCGUAAACGGUGGGUACUAGGUGUGGGGGACAUUCCACGUUCUCCGUGCCGCAGCUAACGCAUUAAGUACCCCGCCUGGGGAGUACGGCCGCAAGGCUAAAACUCAAAUGAAUUGACGG
RNAcentral lists this ribosomal RNA (568 nucleotides) under uncultured bacterium. RNAcentral's name for it is "bacterial SSU rRNA". It matches the Rfam family "Bacterial small subunit ribosomal RNA", at positions 338 to 916 of the family's 1533-position model. The record is from RNAcentral.